This 466-nucleotide long non-coding RNA is filed under the name Volvox carteri. RNAcentral's name for it is "long non-coding RNA (VCAR_LNC004129)". The record is from RNAcentral. Lineage: Eukaryota; Viridiplantae; Chlorophyta; Chlorophyceae; Chlamydomonadales; Volvocaceae.
ACGUAUCUCGGCCAUGGGCAUCCCAAUUGAUAUGCUGGAAAAUUGGCUUCCCAUUCUCCUCGAUGUACUGCAUAUAUGCAGUGCAUUAUGCAGUACAGAUGAUGCAGCUAUAUAGCUGCAUAGAUGAUAUCAUCUGCUCCAUCUCCAGGUGCAUCGGCUCACAGUCUUUGAUAACAGCCAGACCACGGAGCCUCCUUCUCCUUCCAACUUAUAUAGUUCCAGGAUGAAUACCUGUCAGAGUCAAAACAUCCUUCUGAUGGAGGAAGUAUAAGUGCUCCUCAAUGAUGGACAGUGGAGACCUGAGAGUUGACCAGGACCUGGGAUUGACCUGCAUGCGGACCAGGAAUAGAGUUGAGCCACCAUUGAAUAGGUAGAUUCUGUUGAUGCCAGGAGGUGGGUGCUGAACCUGAGCAAUCCACUCAGAAGUCAGCUAGGGUGACUGGAUGAGGGUGCCCUGGAGUACCGG